Molecule: long non-coding RNA, 1185 nt
Organism: Megalobrama amblycephala (Wuchang bream)
Lineage: Eukaryota; Metazoa; Chordata; Actinopteri; Cypriniformes; Xenocyprididae
Exons: 4
Source: RefSeq, a predicted model, not a curated record
AACGACUGGACGAUAUAAGGGCACAGGAGUUGUACACUCGUGGGACAUAUGGCAUGGAGCCAAGAAUUUAGCCAAGAAGAUUUCUGCAGCAGCUCAGCAAUCUGGACAAAAGAUCCUGCUGCACUGGGUGAAAGACAUUGUAAAUCACUUCUGGUUCUGCUGUAAAAAGGCAGACACGGUACAGGAGUUUCUUGUAAGUAAUACUCAUCGUCACAUUUCUGGACACCUCUUCCUGCGACUAAAUACAAAAAAAAUGUAAAAAUGUACACUACAAUUCAUACAAUAUAAAUUUUUUUUAUUCUUUGACUUCAUGGUCUAAUCACAAGAUUUGUACUUUAGAAACUAUGGAGCAGUGUGCUUCAUCAUGUGACAAACGAGCACGAAUGGUACCUUGGACACUGCCUUCAUGGCAACCUACCAGAGAACCAAGACAAGCAAUGGCUGGAGAGUGGUUCUAAAGCUCACAAGGCACUGGAAGCUGUAGUUCUCAAUAAGAGUUUGCUCAGAAAUAUUCACAGAUAUUUACCUUUCAGAUCGACCUGUCAGCUUGAAUCAUUCCACAACCACUUGCUCAUGUACGCCAGCAAGCGGUUCAGCUUCUCACCGCUGGUCUAUCAGGCAAGAAUUCUCCUGGCAACCCUGGAUUAUAACCACCAUAAAGACCGACCACCAUUGCUUAACAAAAAUGGCCAAAAGAUCUUUCGCAGACAGUUAAAGGUUGCGUUAAAGGUGGCAAAAGACUACAGCUACAUUCCUGAUCUGCAAGCGGCAAUUGUGCGUGCAAGAAUUCAGGCUGAUAUGGGGAUGCCAAGAUAUAGGGUUCCAAGGCCUGAGGAUCCCCGGACACUGGGCCUCCUUCCAAGUGUCCAACCUCCUUCAAUUGACAGCAUUCUUGAGUCACAUGUCAGUAGGGGCAUAGGUAUGAAUUGCAAAAAAUGUCCCACACUUAGUAGUUCACAUUCACAGCUAUAAUAUAACAUUGCUUUUAUUCUUAUUCAUCUGAUUGCUAUGUUUUGACUUCUUUCUUUUCCAAAAGGGGCAAGCUCUACACAACCAGAGUCAAGAGAUGAAGACUAAAGUAGAACCUCAGCAAUCUAAACUCUUGAGUUUCAAAUGUGCCAGCCAAGCUAUUGUUGUCUUUCAAAAUUCGACUUAGAAACUUGAUUCAUAUACCUUCAUAUUUAU